Molecule: long non-coding RNA, 1011 nt
Filed under: Corvus moneduloides (New Caledonian crow)
Lineage: Eukaryota; Metazoa; Chordata; Aves; Passeriformes; Corvidae
Description: lncRNA (ENSCMUG00000020050.1)
Source: RNAcentral
AUUCCAUUCUCUGUUUUUCCCAGUUACGCAGAGAGUGGGAAUUGGGGUUUUUCUGGGAUUUCAUUCCCUGUUUUCCCAGUUAUGCAAAAGCUGGGAAUUGGGCUUUAUCCAGGAUUUAUCUGGGAUUCCAUUCCCUGGGAUUCCAUUCCCUGUUUUUCCAGUAGUUCCAAGGCUGGGAAUGAGGAUUCAUCCAGGAUUUAUCCGGGAUUUCUCCAGGAUUCCAUUCCCUGUUUUUUCCAGUUGUUCCAAGGGCAGGAAUGGGGAUUUAUCCGGGAUUUAUCUGAGAUUUAUCCGGGAUUUAUCCAGGAUUCCAUUCCCUGUUUUCCCAGUUGUUCCAAGGCUGGGAAUUGGGGCUUUAUCCCAGAUUCCAUUCCCUGUUUUCCCAGUUGUUCCAAGGGCAGGAAUGGGGAUUUAUCCAGGAUUUAUCCAGGAUUUAUCUGGGAUUCCAUUCCCUGCUUUCCCAGCUGUUCCAAGGCUGGGAAUUGGGAUUUAUCCCAGAUUCCAUCCCCUGCUUUCCCAGCUGUUCCCAGUGCAGGCAAUGAGGAUUCAUCCAGCAUUUCUCCGGGAUUUCUCCAGGAUUCCAUCCCCUGCUUUUUUCCAACCCUGCAAAGGGUGGGAAUCGCAGCCGCCUGGGCUCAAUUCCUGGAAAAACGCCCUGGGAAUGUGGGGGAAAAAUCUGGGAGACGAUCCCAGCCCGUCAGCAGGGACGGCAACGGGGGGGUGCCGAGGGGGGGAUGGACUUGGAUUGGCCGAGCCUCGAGGUCUUUCCCAACGGAAAGAAUUCCAGGAUUCCAGAUGGGGCCGCCUCGGGGAUUAUUGGGGCUGGGCUGGGGGGGCUCGGAAUUCCCAGCUGGAAUUCUUUUCCCAGGAAUUUCGGCCGCAGGUGAGGACGGAGCUCUUGGAGGAGGUUGGGGAUGGGGGAGGGGGGGGAGGUUGAGGGGGUGUUUGGAUGGAUUCCCAACAUUCCCGGAGUGGUUUUUUUUUUUUCCUGGAUCCAGCACAUUCCAGUAG